Molecule: long non-coding RNA, 1224 nt
Organism: Leucoraja erinaceus (little skate)
Lineage: Eukaryota; Metazoa; Chordata; Chondrichthyes; Rajiformes; Rajidae
Exons: 3
Source: RefSeq, a predicted model, not a curated record
UAUUCACUGGAGUUUAGAAGGAUGAGGGGGCUUCUUAUAGAAACAUAUAAAAUUAUAAAAGGACUGGACAAGCUAGAUGCAGGAAAAAUGUUCACAAUGUUGGGCGAGUCCAGAACCAGGGGCCACAGUCUUAGAAUAAAGGGGAGGUCAUUUAAGACUCAGUGAGAAAACACUUUUUAAUCCAGAGAGUUGUGAAUGUAUGGAAUUCCCUGCCACAGAGGGCAGUGGAGGCCAAAUCACUGGAUAGAUAUAAGAGAUAGUUAGAUAGAGUUCUAUGGGGCUAGUGGAGUCAAGGGAUAUGGGGAGAAGCCAGGCACGGCUUCAUUGAUUGAUAGGGGACGAUCAGCCAUAAUCACAAUGCAUGGCGGUACAGGCUCGAAGGGCCGAAUGGCAUCUUCCUGCGCCUAUUUUCUAUGUUUCCAUGUUUCUAUAAGUAGUCUGUGAUAGAACAUAAAAUAACUCAACCGUUUAUUAACUAGUUUUCGCCUUCAAAUCAAAUAAUUUGAGAUUUAUUUCAUCAAGUAAUUCUUGCUCAAAUGCCUUUAUCACCUACUGGUAUCCUGCCGCCAUUAAACGCAAUUCUGGCUUGCAGUUGCCGAUUUUAAGACUGCAACAUAUGCAAUCCAGUAGUUAUUUUACUAUGAUCGAGUAAACAAUGAAGAUAGCUAGUAUACCUAUAUACACAAACAUAGUCUUUAUCAUAAAUAUUGGAACCAAUACUGUAGAAUUUCAAUCCUAUUUGUAUUUCUGCUAUUUAUAUUCGAUCCGCGAUUCAUUGUAUUUUUAUUCCUCUACUGAAUAGAACUAAAUAUAAUUUAAUUAUAUUGUAAACUGAUGCACAAUCCGACGUGAAAUAAUCCCAAUACAGUGGCAAUAUUACACUGGGUUUAGCUCCAGCCUUAACAGCUUUCAACCUGAAAAUGUUGCACGGCCUGCAUUGUGCAUUUUGCUUAAUUGUAUUAUUAAUGAUUGUUAAUGGCGUUGAUGUUGAAGUGAUGUAACAUCGUCAGGUGACCAUGUCGGUGAUUAUUUCCAAAUGUUACUGUGUUCCAACAUUCUGUCUUGCAAUUGACUAUUUGCAUCAACAGAAAAUUCAAUGAUUUCCUACGACCUCCAAUCCAAUGCAUUUUUCUUUUUCAGAGGAGCACACUUUGAGCUCAAGAGAAGCUGAAAUCAAUGCUACCAGACAACUGAAAGAACUGAAGAAACUUCUACAAUCUGCCA